RNAcentral lists this small RNA (246 nucleotides) under Paenibacillus sp. UNC496MF. Its description in RNAcentral is "BsrG". Lineage: Bacteria; Bacillati; Bacillota; Bacilli; Caryophanales; Paenibacillaceae. The record is from RNAcentral.
GCGAUGAGUGGCUAGCAAGGGCGGUCGGCUAGUCUCCCCGAGGGGAGGUGAUGCCAUGGAGACCAAAGACGCGAUAACGCUGAUGAUUACGUUCGGCAUGUUUAUUCUCGCGCUGCUCUCUUAUCUCAAAAAAAAAUAGACCGCCCUCUCGCAAAGGUAUGCGGUCUACUAUAGUUCCCAUAUCUUCCUGAGCCUUCCGCCCUUAAAGCGGUGAGUCGCGCGAGGAGUCGGUUGCCGCCGGCUCCU